This 486-nucleotide ribosomal RNA is filed under the name uncultured bacterium. RNAcentral's name for it is "partial 16S ribosomal RNA". It matches the Rfam family "Bacterial small subunit ribosomal RNA", at positions 29 to 523 of the family's 1533-position model. The record is from RNAcentral.
AACGAACGCUGGCGGCGUGCUUAACACAUGCAAGUCGAACGGUGAACGAGGGAGCUUGCUCCCUCCGGAUCAGUGGCGAACGGGUGAGUAACACGUGAGCAAUCUGCCCUGGACUCUGGGAUAAGCGUUGGAAACGACGUCUAAUACCGGAUACGAGGCGUGGGGGCAUCCCCAACGCCUGGAAAGAACUUCGGCCCAGGAUGAGCUCGCGGCCUAUCAGCUAGUUGGUGAGGUAACGGCUCACCAAGGCGACGACGGGUAGCCGGCCUGAGAGGGUGACCGGCCACACUGGGACUGAGACACGGCCCAGACUCCUACGGGAGGCAGCAGUGGGGAAUAUUGCACAAUGGGCGCAAGCCUGAUGCAGCAACGCCGCGUGAGGGACGACGGCCUUCGGGUUGUAAACCUCUUUUAGCAGGGAAGAAGCGAAAGUGACGGUACCUGCAGAAAAAGCACCGGCUAACUACGUGCCAGCCGCCGCCGUAA